GAUGAACGCUGGCGGCGUGCCUAAUACAUGCAAGUCGAGCGAACAGACGAGGAGCUUGCUCCUCUGACGUUAGCGGCGGACGGGUGAGUAACACGUGGAUAACCUACCUAUAAGACUGGGAUAACUUCGGGAAACCGGAGCUAAUACCGGAUAAUAUAUUGAACCGCAUGGUUCAAUAGUGAAGGACGGUUUUGCAGUCACUUAUAGAUGGAUCCGCGCCGCAUUAGCUAGUUGGUAAGGUAACGGCUUACCAAGGCGACGAUGCGUAGCCGACCUGAGAGGGUGAUCGGCCACACUGGAACUGAGACACGGUCCAGACUCCUACGGGAGGCAGCAGUAGGGAAUCUUCCGCAAUGGGCGAAAGCCUGACGGAGCAACGCCGCGUGAGUGAUGAAGGUCUUCGGAUCGUAAAACUCUGUUAUUAGGGAAGAACAAAUGUGUAAGUAACUAUGCACGUCUUGACGGUACCUAAUCAGAAAGCCACGGCUAACUACGUG
Molecule: ribosomal RNA, 497 nt
Filed under: uncultured bacterium
Lineage: Bacteria
Description: partial 16S ribosomal RNA
Rfam family: Bacterial small subunit ribosomal RNA
Source: RNAcentral